CGCGUAGGCGGUUAAAUCAGUCAGAUGUGAAAUCCCCGAGCUUAACUUGGGAAUUGCAUUUGAUACUGGAAAGCUAGAGUAUGGGAGAGGAUGGUAGAAUUCCAGGUGUAGCGGUGAAAUGCGUAGAGAUCUGGAGGAAUACCGAUGGCGAAGGCAGCCAUCUGGCCUAAUACUGACGCUGAGGUACGAAAGCAUGGGGAGCAAACAGGAUUAGAUACCCUUGUA
This 225-nucleotide ribosomal RNA is filed under the name uncultured Acinetobacter sp. Its description in RNAcentral is "partial 16S ribosomal RNA". It matches the Rfam family "Bacterial small subunit ribosomal RNA", at positions 568 to 792 of the family's 1533-position model. The record is from RNAcentral. Lineage: Bacteria; Pseudomonadati; Pseudomonadota; Gammaproteobacteria; Moraxellales; Moraxellaceae.